AGUUAUAUGCUUGUCUCAAAGAUUAAGCCAUGCAUGUCUAAGUACACACGAAUUAAUAGUGAAACCGCAAAAGGCUCAUUAUAUCAGUUAUGGUUCCUUAGAUCGUUAACAGUUACUUGGAUAACUGUGGUAAUUCUAGAGCUAAUACAUGCAAUUAAAACACGGACCUUAUGGAACGUGUGCUUUUAUUAGGCUAAAACCAAGCGAUCGCAAGAUCGUUACAUUGGUUGAACUCUAGAUAACAUGCAGAUCGUAUGGUCUUGUACCGACGACAGAUCUUUCAAAUGUCUGCCCUAUCAACUUUUGAUGGUAGUAUCUAGGACUACCAUGGUUGCAACGGGUAACGGGGAAUCAGGGUUCGAUUCCGGAGAGGGAGCCUGAGAAACGGCUACCACAUCUAAGGAAGGCAGCAGGCGCGUAAAUUACCCACUCCCAGCUCGGGGAGGUAGUGACGAAAAAUAACAAUACAGGACUCAUAUCCGAGGCCCUGUAAUUGGAAUGAGUACACUUUAAAUCCUUUAACAAGGACCUAUUGGAGGGCAAGUCUGGUGCCAGCAGCCGCGGUAAUUCCAGCUCCAAUAGCGUAUAUUAAAGUUGUUGCGGUUAAAACGUUCGUAGUUGAACUUGUGCUUCAUACGGGUAGUACAACUUACAAUUGUGGUUAGUACUAUACCUUUAUGUAUGUAAGCGUAUUACCGGUGGAGUUCUUAUAUGUAAUUAAAUACUUGUAUUUUUUUAUGUAUUCCUCCUAUUUAAAAACCUGCAUUAGUGCUCUUCAUCGAGUGUUAUUGUGGGCCGGUACAAUUACUUUGAACAAAUUAGAGUGCUUAAAGCAGGCUUCAAAUGCCUGAAUAUUCUGUGCAUGGGAUAAUGAAAUAUGACCUCUGUUCUGCUUUCAUUGGUUUUCAGAUCAAGA
RNAcentral lists this ribosomal RNA (916 nucleotides) under Drosophilidae sp. Droso_H1. RNAcentral describes it as "SSU rRNA". It matches the Rfam family "Eukaryotic small subunit ribosomal RNA", at positions 21 to 862 of the family's 1831-position model. Lineage: Eukaryota; Metazoa; Arthropoda; Insecta; Diptera; Drosophilidae. The record is from RNAcentral.